GGGUGCGUAGUAUAAUGGAUAGUACGAAACCUUGCGGAGGUUUUAAUCCAGGUUCGAAUCCUGGCGUGCCCA
This 72-nucleotide transfer RNA is filed under the name Candidatus Pacearchaeota archaeon. RNAcentral describes it as "tRNA-Arg". It matches the Rfam family "tRNA". From Rfam's summary of the family: Transfer RNA (tRNA) molecules are approximately 80 nucleotides in length. Their secondary structure includes four short double-helical elements and three loops (D, anti-codon, and T loops). Further hydrogen bonds mediate the characteristic L-shaped molecular structure. tRNAs have two regions of fundamental functional importance: the anti-codon, which is responsible for specific mRNA codon recognition, and the 3' end, to which the tRNAs corresponding amino acid is attached (by aminoacyl-tRNA synthetases). tRNAs cope with the degeneracy of the genetic code in two manners: having more than one tRNA (with a specific anti-codon) for a particular amino acid; and 'wobble' base-pairing, i.e. permitting non-standard base-pairing at the 3rd anti-codon position. Lineage: Archaea; Nanobdellati. The record is from RNAcentral.